AGAUUAGCUUGCUUUAUUUGUCAGCUAAGUGGCGCACGGGUGAGUAAUGUAUAGGUAAUAUGCCUCUUACUAAGGGAUAACAAAUGGAAACGUUUGCUAAUACCUUAUACUCCUUAUUAACAGAAGUUAAUAAGGGAAAGAUUUAUUGGUAAGAGAUUAGCCUGUAUUGUAUCAGUUAGUUGGUGGGGUAAUGGCUUACCAAGACUAUGACACAUAACUGGUUUGAGAGGAUGAUCAGUCACACUGGAACUGAGACACGGUCCAGACUCCUACGGGAGGCAGCAGUGGGGAAUAUUGCACAAUGGACGAAAGUCUGAUGCAGCAACGCCGCGUGGAGGAUGACACAUUUCGGUGCGUAGACUCCUUUUAUAUGAGAAGAUAAUGACGGUAUUAUAUGAAUAAGCACCGGCUAACUCCGUGCCAGCAGCCGCGGUAAUACGGGGGGUGCAAGCGUUACUCGGAAUCACUGGGCGUAAAGAGCAUGUAGGCGGAUUAAUAAGUUUGAAGUGAAAUCCUAUAGCUUAACUAUAGAACUGCUUUGAAAACUGUUAAUCUAGAAUGUGGGAGAGGUAGAUGGAAUUUCUGG
RNAcentral lists this ribosomal RNA (586 nucleotides) under uncultured Arcobacter sp. Its description in RNAcentral is "bacterial SSU rRNA". It matches the Rfam family "Bacterial small subunit ribosomal RNA", at positions 64 to 673 of the family's 1533-position model. The record is from RNAcentral. Lineage: Bacteria; Pseudomonadati; Campylobacterota; Epsilonproteobacteria; Campylobacterales; Arcobacteraceae.